CAUGGACAUGGACAAGUGGUGCCGGGGUUUGAACCGUCGAUCCUCCUGAUUGAAGGGCAACCGAGCCCACGUAGAGGAUGACGUACCUGGCACAGAACACCGGAGGACCUUUUUGAGCUGAUGCUUCCCGCCAUCACCAUGGAAACGGAGGCCAGUCAUAUGCUGGAGGCUGCACUGGAGCAGAUGGACGACAUCAUCGCAGGUUCCAAAGCGGCGGAGUUUUCCAGCAGCGCGUAUGAGCCGCCCUCCCCACUCGGCGCGGCUCCUCUGCAGGUCGUGCAGUUGGCCGAGGACUGAGAGUCGCCCUGGAGCUCCGACCCGACCGGGACGAGAGAGCCGGCCUCAGAGCUCAGCUACCUCGGGCGACGGCACAGAUCCUCGUAGACUGGCUGCAGAGUGGAACUGUGAGUACCAAGUGAACUUCCACCUUGGGUUGUCACGAUACCAAAAUUAUGACUUCGAUACUACACCUGCCGAAAUAUUACG
Long non-coding RNA from Gasterosteus aculeatus aculeatus (three-spined stickleback), 486 nucleotides. Lineage: Eukaryota; Metazoa; Chordata; Actinopteri; Perciformes; Gasterosteidae. The record is from Ensembl.